AACUAAAACUUUUCUCCAUCUCUUCGUAGCCGCCUCCCUCUCAUCUCCGAAUCUUCAUUAUUUUCAAAGGUAACAUUUAUUUCUAGUAAUCCAGUAUCUACAACUUUUGUUUCGUACUAUCUACGUUUUGCAUAGAUUGUCUCGAAGAUCUAAUUCGUUUUGCGAAUUCUGAAGCUUUGGUGGCUUAUUUGUGGCAAUUGAUGAUUUGGAUUUAUAUAUAUAUAUAUAUAUAUAUAUAUAUAUAUAUAAUAAAAAUGAUAUUGAUAUAUAUAUAUGUAUGUAUAAACAAUUUUCUGUACUGUUAUGUUUCAGUUUGUACUUUAUGAAUCGAUAAAAGAUAACGAAUUUCUCUUAUUAAUCAUUGAAAAAAGUAUCCAACUCAUGCUUAAUGUUGAAGAAUGUCUCAAUUUGUUCUUUUAAUGUUAUAUAUUUUUGGCUAUUUUUGUGCUGUGCAUAAUUUAAUUUGGUGAAAGUAUACUAAACAGUUAAAAUAGUUAAAUAGGGAUGGGGUAUUUUUAACUGAAUUGGGGUGAUUUGCAUAUGAUUAUUCUGUUCAUAUUUAGAAAAAAUCAUUCAUGUUUCAUGCUUAGGAAGGGGUCAAUUUGUUUCUUGGUGUCUGACAAAAUGUAGGUUUUACAUUUUGUUGGUUGAUGAGCUUUCUGCUUAGAUUGUUGAAUUAUAUUGUUGAAUUCACAAUUAGAACACAUAAGCUAAUUGAGAAAAUGGAUGUGAUAGUAUAAUCCACAUAAGCAGGCACUAUUAUCAUAGGACUAAAUUAAUCUUUUGGUGUACUUUUUGACUCUUGGCUUGAUUUUGCCCCCCCCCCC
This 827-nucleotide long non-coding RNA is filed under the name Nicotiana benthamiana. Its description in RNAcentral is "long non-coding RNA (NBEN_LNC028731)". The record is from RNAcentral. Lineage: Eukaryota; Viridiplantae; Streptophyta; Magnoliopsida; Solanales; Solanaceae.